CGUGGAGACAGGUGGUGCAUGGCUGUCGUCAGCUCGUGUCGUGAGAUGUUGGGUUAAGUCCCGCAACGAGCGCAACCCUCACCUCUUGUUGCCAUCAGGUCAUGCUGGGCACUCUAGAGGAACUGCCCCGGUCAACGGGGAGGAAGGCGGGGAUGACGUCAAGUCAUCAUGCCCCUUACGUCCUGGGCUACACACGUGCUACAAUGGCCGGUACAAAGGGAUGCCACACCGCGAGGUAGAGCUAAACCCAAAAAGCCGGUCUAAGUUCAGAUUGGAGUCUGCAACUCGACUCCAUGAAGGAGGAAUCGCUAGUAAUCGCGUAUCAGCACGACGCGGUGAAUACGUUCCCGGGCCUUGUACACAUCGCCCGUCACACCACGAAAGCCUGCUGUACUCGAAGUCGCUGAG
Molecule: ribosomal RNA, 408 nt
Filed under: uncultured Methylomirabilota bacterium
Lineage: Bacteria; Methylomirabilota (SeqCode)
Description: bacterial SSU rRNA
Rfam family: Bacterial small subunit ribosomal RNA
Source: RNAcentral